GGGCCGUCGUCGGCGAAAGCCCGGCUGCCGGCGAACUCCCGCAACGGGUCGUGGUAGAAGUACCGACCCAGGUCGCCGGUCUCCAGCAGGUGCAUGUCGACGAGGGACUCCAGCAGCACCGCGGUGUCGCCGAGCGACAAAUCCAGCAGGGCCGCCGCGGCCCCGAGUGAGACAUCCGGGCGGUCCGUCACGGAGAGCAGCCGGAACGCCCGUGCCUGCUCGGGUGACAACUGCUCCAUCACCGACGCGUACGGCUGCUCGAUGGCCCGGCACUCCGCCGGGAGCACGGGCGAGCCGGGGCCGGGCCUGGUGAUCCGCCGCUUCGCCUCGGCGAUGGUCCA
Molecule: non-coding RNA, 341 nt
Filed under: Planotetraspora phitsanulokensis
Lineage: Bacteria; Bacillati; Actinomycetota; Actinomycetes; Streptosporangiales; Streptosporangiaceae
Source: RNAcentral